GCCAACUUGCGAAAGUGAGCGAAUCCCAAAAAGUGCGUCGUAGUCCGGAUUGGAGUCUGCAACUCGACUCCAUGAAGUCGGAAUCGCUAGUAAUCGUGGAUCAGAAUGCCACGGUGAAUACGUUCCCGGGCCUUGUACACACCGCCCGUCACACCAUGGGAGUGGGCUGCAAAAGAAGUGGGUAGUUUAACCUUCGGGAGGACGCUCACCACUUUGUGGUUCAUGACUGGGGUGAAGUCGUAACAAGGUAGCGCUAGGGGAACCUGGCGCUGGAUCACCUCCUUAUACGAUGAU
RNAcentral lists this ribosomal RNA (294 nucleotides) under Vibrio vulnificus. RNAcentral describes it as "partial 16S ribosomal RNA". It matches the Rfam family "Bacterial small subunit ribosomal RNA", at positions 1249 to 1533 of the family's 1533-position model. The record is from RNAcentral. Lineage: Bacteria; Pseudomonadati; Pseudomonadota; Gammaproteobacteria; Vibrionales; Vibrionaceae.